This is a long non-coding RNA of Carassius auratus (goldfish), 345 nucleotides long. RefSeq lists it as uncharacterized. NCBI's taxonomy places the organism in Eukaryota, Metazoa, Chordata, Actinopteri, Cypriniformes, Cyprinidae. The transcript has 4 exons. The record is from RefSeq and is a predicted model, not a curated record.
CGGGGCUUCCCCAUGCCACCAAACUCUAGGUUGCAGACACAAGCUCUUUAUAUUUUGUCUGAUUAUUUCUAUCCUCUCUGAUUGUCAACUGUUCCAGAUCAUCAUCUUAUUUAUUCCCUCUGAAGAAAUUCUUGUUGUGGUAUUUGUUCAACCACUACUGUUUAUUUGUAUACCACUUUUACCUCAUCUGCAAGCAAAAUUCAAAUUUCUCUGCCAUAGAUGGAUGACAUCAUUGUGGAUAAUAACAAUAACACUCCUGGAUAUCAUCCUAUUGAUUUAUGUUCUUCUAGCCACUUUGGCAAGAGAGAGAGGUAUAUGUUGUCUUUACUUUUAGUCAUUUUCAUG